UACGGAGGGUGCAAGCAUUAAUCGGAUUUAUUGGGCGUAAAGGGCGCGUAGGCGGGGAGAUAAGUCAGAUGUGAAAUCCCGAAGCUCAACUUCGGAACAGCAUUUGAAACUGUCUCUCUUGAGGAUAGGCGGGGAAAACGGAAUUCCACAAGUAGCGGUGAAAUGCGUAGAUAUGUGGAAGAACACCGGUGGCGAAGGCGGUUUUCUAGCUUAUACCUGACGCUGAGGCGCGAAAGCAAGGGGAGCAAAC
This 250-nucleotide ribosomal RNA is filed under the name uncultured bacterium. RNAcentral describes it as "partial 16S ribosomal RNA". It matches the Rfam family "Bacterial small subunit ribosomal RNA", at positions 524 to 773 of the family's 1533-position model. The record is from RNAcentral.